RNAcentral lists this transfer RNA (72 nucleotides) under Candidatus Xenolissoclinum pacificiensis L6. It matches the Rfam family "tRNA". From Rfam's summary of the family: Transfer RNA (tRNA) molecules are approximately 80 nucleotides in length. Their secondary structure includes four short double-helical elements and three loops (D, anti-codon, and T loops). Further hydrogen bonds mediate the characteristic L-shaped molecular structure. tRNAs have two regions of fundamental functional importance: the anti-codon, which is responsible for specific mRNA codon recognition, and the 3' end, to which the tRNAs corresponding amino acid is attached (by aminoacyl-tRNA synthetases). tRNAs cope with the degeneracy of the genetic code in two manners: having more than one tRNA (with a specific anti-codon) for a particular amino acid; and 'wobble' base-pairing, i.e. permitting non-standard base-pairing at the 3rd anti-codon position. Lineage: Bacteria; Pseudomonadati; Pseudomonadota; Alphaproteobacteria; Rickettsiales; Anaplasmataceae. The record is from Rfam by way of RNAcentral.
GAUCCCGUAGCUCAGCGGUAGAGCGUUCGCCUUUUAAGCGACAGGUCAUGGGUUCGGCUCCCAUCGGGAUCA